RNAcentral lists this ribosomal RNA (280 nucleotides) under uncultured bacterium. RNAcentral's name for it is "partial 16S ribosomal RNA". It matches the Rfam family "Bacterial small subunit ribosomal RNA", at positions 56 to 339 of the family's 1533-position model. The record is from RNAcentral.
UGCAAGUCGAACGGUAACGCGGGGGCAACCCUGGCGACGAGUGGCGGACGGGUGAGUAAUGCUUAGGAAUCUGCCCAGUAGUGGGGGACAACCGGAGGAAACUCCGGCUAAUACCGCAUAAGUCCUACGGGAGAAAGCGGGGGACCGAAAGGCCUCGCGCUAUUGGAUGAGCCUAAGCCCGAUUAGCUAGUUGGCGGGUAAUAGCCCACCAAGGCGAUGAUCGGUAGCUGGUCUGAGAGGAUGAUCAGCCACACUGGGACUGAGACACGGCCCAGACUCC